AUUGAACGCUGGCGGAAUGCUUUACACAUGCAAGUCGAGCGGCAGCGCGGGGCAACCUGGCGGCGAGCGGCGAACGGGUGAGUAAUACAUCGGAACGUGCCCAGACGUGGGGGAUAACUACUCGAAAGAGUGGCUAAUACCGCAUACGAUCUAAGGAUGAAAGCGGGGGAUCGCAAGACCUCGCGCGUCUGGAGCGGCUGAUGUCGGAUUAGCUAGUUGGUGGGGUAAAGGCCCACCAAGGCGACGAUCCGUAGCUGGUCUGAGAGGAUGAUCAGCCACACUGGGACUGAGACACGGCCCAGACUCCUACGGGAGGCAGCAGUGGGGAAUAUUGGACAAUGGGCGAAAGCCUGAUCCAGCCAUGCCGCGUGAGUGAUGAAGGCCUUAGGGUUGUAAAGCUCUUUCAGUGGGGAUGAUAAUGACAGUACCCACAGAAGAAGCCCCGGCUAACUUCGUGCCAGCAGCCGCGGUAAAUGACG
RNAcentral lists this ribosomal RNA (479 nucleotides) under uncultured bacterium. RNAcentral's name for it is "bacterial SSU rRNA". It matches the Rfam family "Bacterial small subunit ribosomal RNA", at positions 29 to 527 of the family's 1533-position model. The record is from RNAcentral.